This 694-nucleotide ribosomal RNA is filed under the name uncultured bacterium. RNAcentral describes it as "bacterial SSU rRNA". It matches the Rfam family "Bacterial small subunit ribosomal RNA", at positions 32 to 715 of the family's 1533-position model. The record is from RNAcentral.
AACGCUAGCUACAGGCUUAACACAUGCAAGUUGAGGGGCAGCAUGGUCUUGGCUUGCUAAGGCCGAUGGCGACCGGCGCACGGGUGAGUAACACGUAUCCAACCUGCCGUCUACUCUUGGACAGCCUUCUGAAAGGAAGAUUAAUACAAGAUGGCAUCAUGAGUCCGCAUGUUCACAUGAUUAAAGGUAUUCCGGUAGACGAUGGGGAUGCGUUCCAUUAGAUAGUAGGCGGGGUAACGGCCCACCUAGUCUUCGAUGGAUAGGGGUUCUGAGAGGAAGGUCCCCCACAUUGGAACUGAGACACGGUCCAAACUCCUACGGGAGGCAGCAGUGAGGAAUAUUGGUCAAUGGGCGAGAGCCUGAACCAGCCAAGUAGCGUGAAGGAUGACUGCCCUAUGGGUUGUAAACUUCUUUUAUAAAGGAAUAAAGUCGGGUAUGUAUACCCGUUUGCAUGUACUUUAUGAAUAAGGAUCGGCUAACUCCGUGCCAGCAGCCGCGGUAAUACGGAGGAUCCGAGCGUUAUCCGGAUUUAUUGGGUUUAAAGGGAGCGUAGAUGGAUGUUUAAGUCAGUUGUGAAAGUUUGCGGCUCAACCGUAAAAUUGCAGUUGAUACUGGAUAUCUUGAGUGCAGUUGAGGCAGGCGGAAUUCGUGGUGUGGCGGUGAAAUGCUUAGAUAUCACGAAGAACUCCGAUUG